CGUCUUACAUUUCUACGUUGUGACAAUGUAGCGAGCACGUAAGCGGCAACGUUGCCUUUGAAAAAAUACAACGUUGUGCAGACAUCGCUACAACGUAACUGUGUUUGUUGGGAUGAGGGUCGCAUGCUUUAGGUUGUGCUUAGGUGGCGUGGACGACCACUGUACAACAUUUACUGGUCACAGCUGAAUCAGUUUAAAUUUCAACAAGCCGUCGUCUCAUUCAUCAACGACCGAGGAGACGCUAUUUUCACAUGGAGGUAAUCUUCUAUUGAUAAUUUCUGGAUUUUAAUUAUGCAAUGUUUUCAGCUGUUGAAUUCACCUCAGAUCAGUGUUGCUGUAAUUCCCGAUCUAUGGAAAGAAGAAUUGGAUGAGCGAGCAACGCCACAACUACAGGGCCUCUUCUUUCUCUUC
Non-coding RNA from Danio rerio (zebrafish), 411 nucleotides. NCBI's taxonomy places the organism in Eukaryota, Metazoa, Chordata, Actinopteri, Cypriniformes, Danionidae. The record is from RefSeq and is a predicted model, not a curated record.